Molecule: ribosomal RNA, 681 nt
Filed under: Aeromonas dhakensis
Lineage: Bacteria; Pseudomonadati; Pseudomonadota; Gammaproteobacteria; Aeromonadales; Aeromonadaceae
Description: bacterial SSU rRNA
Rfam family: Bacterial small subunit ribosomal RNA
Source: RNAcentral
CAGCUACCAUGCAGUCGAGCGGCAGCGGGAAAGUAGCUUGCUACUUUUGCCGGCGAGCGGCGGACGGGUGAGUAAUGCCUGGGAAAUUGCCCAGUCGAGGGGGAUAACAGUUGGAAACGACUGCUAAUACCGCAUACGCCCUACGGGGGAAAGCAGGGGACCUUCGGGCCUUGCGCGAUUGGAUAUGCCCAGGUGGGAUUAGCUAGUUGGUGAGGUAAUGGCUCACCAAGGCGACGAUCCCUAGCUGGUCUGAGAGGAUGAUCAGCCACACUGGAACUGAGACACGGUCCAGACUCCUACGGGAGGCAGCAGUGGGGAAUAUUGCACAAUGGGGGAAACCCUGAUGCAGCCAUGCCGCGUGUGUGAAGAAGGCCUUCGGGUUGUAAAGCACUUUCAGCGAGGAGGAAAGGUCAGUAGCUAAUAUCUGCUGACUGUGACGUUACUCGCAGAAGAAGCACCGGCUAACUCCGUGCCAGCAGCCGGGGUAAUACGGAGGGUGCAAGCGUUAAUCGGAAUUACUGGGCGUAAAGCGCACGCAGGCGGUUGGAUAAGUUAGAUGUGAAAGCCCGGGGCUCAACCUGGGAAUUGCAUUUAAAACUGUCCAGCUAGAGUUUUGUAGAGGGGGGUAGAAUUCCAGGUGUAGCGGUGAAAUGCGUAGAGAUCUGGAGGAAUACCGGUGGC